Molecule: unclassified non-coding RNA, 224 nt
Filed under: uncultured Gemmatimonadota bacterium
Lineage: Bacteria; Pseudomonadati; Gemmatimonadota
Description: uncultured Gemmatimonadetes bacterium contains 16S-23S intergenic spacer region
Rfam family: Bacterial small subunit ribosomal RNA
Source: RNAcentral
UAGGUUUGACAUGCUGGUGAAAGCCUGACGAAAGUCGGGCCCUUCUUCGGAACACCAGCACAGGUGCUGCAUGGCUGUCGUCAGCUCGUGUCGUGAGAUGUUGGGUUAAGUCCCGCAACGAGCGCAACCCUUGCCCCGUGUUACUAACAGGUCAUGCUGAGGACUCUCGGGGGACUGCCGGCGUCAAGCCGGAGGAAGGUGGGGAUGACGUAGUACACCUGAAC